This 435-nucleotide ribosomal RNA is filed under the name uncultured bacterium. RNAcentral's name for it is "partial 16S ribosomal RNA". It matches the Rfam family "Bacterial small subunit ribosomal RNA", at positions 29 to 507 of the family's 1533-position model. The record is from RNAcentral.
AGCGAACGCUGGCGGCAGGCUUAACACAUGCAAGUCGAGCGGGCGUAGCAAUACGUCAGCGGCAGACGGGUGCGUAACGCGUGGGAACGUACCUUUUGGUUCGGAACAACACAGGGAAACUUGUGCUAAUACCGGAUAAGCCCUUACGGGGAAAGAUUUAUCGCCGAAAGAUCGGCCCGCGUCUGAUUAGCUAGUUGGUGAGGUAACGGCUCACCAAGGCGACGAUCAGUAGCUGGUCUGAGAGGAUGAUCAGCCACAUUGGGACUGAGACACGGCCCAAACUCCUACGGGAGGCAGCAGUGGGGAAUAUUGGACAAUGGGGGCAACCCUGAUCCAGCCAUGCCGCGUGAGUGAUGAAGGCCCUAGGGUUGUAAAGCUCUUGUGUGCGGGAAGAUAAUGACGGUACCGAAAGAAUAAGCCCCGGCUAACUUCGUG